RNAcentral lists this ribosomal RNA (252 nucleotides) under uncultured bacterium. RNAcentral's name for it is "partial 16S ribosomal RNA". It matches the Rfam family "Bacterial small subunit ribosomal RNA", at positions 524 to 776 of the family's 1533-position model. The record is from RNAcentral.
UACGUAGGGUGCGAGCGUUAAUCGGAAUUACUGGGCGUAAAGCGUGCGCCGGCGGUUUCGUAAGACAGGCGUGAAAUCCCCGGGCUUAACCUGGGAACUGCGCUUGUGACUGCGAGGCUAGAGUGUGUCAGAGGGAGGUGGAAUUCCACGUGUAGCAGUGAAAUGCGUAGAGAUGUGGAGGAACACCGAUGGCGAAGGCAGCCUCCUGGGAUAACACUGACGCUCAUGCACGAAAGCGUGGGAGCAAACAGG